UACGUAGGGUGCAAGCGUUGUCCGGAAUUAUUGGGCGUAAAGAGCGUGUAGGCGGCCUCGUAAGUCCGCUGUGAAAGUCCAGGGCUCAACCCUGGAAAGCCGGUGGAUACUGCGAGGCUAGAGUCCGGAAGGGGCGAGUGGAAUUCCUGGUGUAGCGGUGAAAUGCGCAGAUAUCAGGAGGAACACCAAUGGCGAAGGCAGCUCGCUGGGACGGUACUGACGCUAAGGCGCGAAAGCGUGGGGAGCGAACAGG
Molecule: ribosomal RNA, 253 nt
Filed under: uncultured bacterium
Lineage: Bacteria
Description: partial 16S ribosomal RNA
Rfam family: Bacterial small subunit ribosomal RNA
Source: RNAcentral